Long non-coding RNA from Erpetoichthys calabaricus (reedfish), 20238 nucleotides. RefSeq lists it as uncharacterized. NCBI's taxonomy places the organism in Eukaryota, Metazoa, Chordata, Cladistia, Polypteriformes, Polypteridae. The record is from RefSeq and is a predicted model, not a curated record. The transcript is spliced from 2 exons.
GCAGGCAGGAGAGAGUGGUGUAUAAACAAAAAUUAGGGUUUGGGGAGGGGAUGGGGCAUGCUGGCAUCCACUCUGCCUGCUCAUUUUGAAGUAUACCUGUGUGAUAAAAUUUGUCACUUGGGUGAGAUUCUGCCUUGAUGUCACCAGGCCUGAUGUCCAUAUACAGGAGAGGUGAGCCCUUCAGAGGUACAGGUUAGAGAAGAUAGUUAGCAGUCACAUCCAGAGUAUGUGUGGGUUUUUUUGGAAGGUGUCAACAUUUGUUUUUAUGAUCCAAGUUUAAGGUUCCCUUGAACUCUGCACUGCCCAGAGUCGCCCAACCAGGCAUGGGAAUGUUUAGCACUAGAUGAGGAAUUCUCUCAUUGUGUGCAUUUUUUUGUAUGGAAGAGAUUGCUUUCUGUGCAGUUUUAUUAGAAUCUGAAAUGCCUGUCAGAGGCAUAGAGUUGCCAGCAUUAAGGUUUUAAACAGUUGAGCUUUAGAUUAAGUGACAGAUCUUUGUUAGAGUAGGUACCAGCAUGGAACCCAAAUGACCUCUUGGAAGGCAUCGUUCAGAAAUGCAGCUGUUCUCUUAACCCUUUGACUACCUCAUUUUAUUUUUAUGCAAUAUUCAGUUGAGGUAGUACCUAUUUUGGCUUAACUUGAAAUCUCGGAAUAUUUGCUUAUGGCAAUAAUUACACUGCUUACAUAAUUUGGCAGUAUCAAAUUAGAUCUGUAUAAACCAAAAUGGGUGCUAUUUUUAACACUGUUUGCAUGUAAUUACAAUAAUGGUUUUAUGAGUUCUUUAGAAUAUACCACACAUCGUUGUUCCCAGUGGGUAAAAAUACUUUACAUUAACUGAAGUGGUGGAAGUGAGAGGAUUACAGAUGUGGUUUGUCGUAAAGCUUUAUUUGUAAAAUAAAUUCUGACAAGCGUUGUGUAAUGUCCCACUCCAAAUCCCCACCCCCCGUAAACUCAGUUUUCUAGGGUUUUGGUUUCUAGAUAACAUUUUAUGGUUAUGUUUUGUCUCCAUCCCAACCACUCCAUUGUGCCUGCUCCUACUUUUUCUUAGCUUUUCGUCAAGAUUGUGGAGUUAGGGCGUCAUGUAACUAAUCUGGUAUAGAUGGAGGUGUCUUUGGCCGUAAAAUGCAAAGAUAUCUAAAGAUAGUUUUUAUGUAAUUAUUUCCAACAGUUUUGCCAAUAUUUAAAAUAAAACCAUAAACCAGUAAUUUUGAGCUUGAGGUGGAGAACAAGCAUGGCAUUCAUAAACUAAGCUGGAGUUCACACUUGCUGUAUACCAGUGGUUCUCAGCCCAAACACGUUACAGGAGUGCCACAAGGUGACCGGCAAUAAUUAUGAAAUAGCAACAAAAUACUCAAACUUUACAGCAGGGAUCUAAAACUUGAGGCCUCAGGGAUCUUUUUGAAUUCAGCCUGCUUCAUCAAUAUUCUAAAUGUUCUAUACUGCCAGCAAUAACUGUUUUCUCAAAGGCCCCCUUUUAUGUCCGUCAUAUAUAGAUUGUAUCUGUGCUGUAUAAUUUAUCUGUGUUACACUUGCACCUGGCAGUAAAAUUUGUCUCCAUUAUCCACAACUCCCAAUAGAGAUUGGAUGGACUCCACACAUACUGACAGCAGUUUGGGGUUAGUGGUCUCGUAUAUUUGUGUUUUAGUGUGAUGGCAAACAUUUGAGUUUUAUGACGGAAUUGUUGGGUCUACUUUACUGCUUGUACUGUGGUAAUUUUUUAAAGCAGCAUAGGCUUCAAGUCUGGCUACACUUUUGUGACUUUUCUGAGCACUGUUAUAGCAUUACAUGCUUUUUUUUCUGUCAGUUUUAUGUAAAUAGAAAACAUAUUUCCAUUUGUGUUAAAAUAUGGCUGUGGCCAGUUGGAAAUGACUAAAUGCUGAAUUCAGAGGAUAAUGAUAUAACUUCUGUAUUUAUGAAAGUCUGUAGUGUCAAAUUCAUAGUAUUAGGUUUAAACUGAUUGAUACAAGUAUUCUUUCUCAGAAAUACUUAAUCCAUGUUGUUCAUUUUAAGCUGAAGCUGAAUUAGUCAUAAGCAACUUUUUUCUGUGGUGUCAAAUUGUUUUGGUAAUGGUCAUUUAUCCAAAAAGCCUACUUGUUUUGUUAUACUAGCUAAGCACCACUGUAAUGGCAGUUUUUUUUUUUUAAAUGUUCUAUCUUCUGCCCUGUGUGUGUUUUUAGCAUGUGUUUGUAUGUCUUUUCACCCGCACAUUCCCGUAAAGCCUGCUUCUCACACUCUACUUUCAAAAUGCCUUUCCUGCCUUCUGUCCAGUUUUAUUAUUUCCACCUUUGGAAGCGCCUCUUUCAGCAUGACCCAUGCGCCUUUACCUUUACUCCUCCUCCUCAUCCUUCUCAAGCUCAAACUUCCUCUUUUGUUACAACAUUGCUCAGAGAGACUGGACAAAAGUUAUUAUUAUUAUUAUAUAGUAGAUUAGGGAAUUCAAGCACUAGUUUUUAAAAACUUUAGUAAAAGCAAGCAGUUUAAUUGGCCUGUUUUAUAUUGUUUAAAAAAAAUGCAGGCAGUGUAAUGGCAUUGGUAGCAAGCAUGCUUUUGUUAAUUUUAAAUUUCAAGGAAGUGCAAAAGACUAGCAAAAGUACAAAAUGGUAAUUAUGGCUUUUGUAGUGGGGCUUCACAUCCUCGUGGUACAUUGGGAAUCCAUGGAGGAAAAGAUGUUAAACUGCUGCCAUAUAUUGUGGUUGUAUAACUGAGUGUGGGGAGUCCAUCUAAUAUGCAAGUGUAUGCCUUGGACACAGUUUUUAAAUUUCUGCUAGUGUCUGAAAGCUGUCCUGACCUGUUUGAUCAAGGUAUAUAAAUUUUGACAUCCUUGGGUAUGCCUUAGCAUAGCUCCCUUUGUUUAGGACAAAAAUACAAUACAAUACAAUAGUUUAUUUUUGUAUAGCCCAAAAUCACACAGGAAGUGCCGCAAUGGGCUUUAACAGGCCCUGCCUCUUGACAGCCCCUCAGCCUUGACUCUCUAAGAAGACAAGGAAAAACUCCCAAAAAAACCUAGUAGGGAAAAAUGGAAGAAACCUUGGGAAAGGCAGUUCAAAGAGAGACCCCUUUCCAGGUAGAUAGGGCGUGCAGUGGGUGUCAAAAGAAGGGGGUCAAUACAGUACAGUACACAGAACAGAACAAUUUCUCAAUAUAGUAAGAAAUAAAAAAUAUAAAUUUUAGAAGUACAGAGCAGAAUUUAACAGUAGAUGAUAUAUCCCAUAAUAAGAUUUGGAUUUGUGUAGAGUCCUGGAGACCUCAUCCUUCAAGCUGCCUCCCCCAUUUGGUCAUUCCACAGCUGAAACAGUGCUGGGCCAGCCAAUCCGAUGAAAGGACCCCUCUCUCCCACGAUUCCUGCAAUCCUCCAUCUGGGAUGACUUUUCCUUAGGCAGGCAAAACAACUUGGCAGGUGGGCCAUGGCACCAAGUGCCACAUUUGAGUACCAAGAAGAAAAACAGAAUAAGUGAGGGUUAGUAUAUAAUUAUAACUGUCAUGUUACUUAUGUUUAAGUGCUAAUGACUAACAACAGAGAAGCAGUCUGUACAGUUAAUCAGCAGCUCUAGUCAGGAUAUGCUAAACUGAAGUAGUGAGUCUUCAGCCGGGAUUUAAAAGCUGAGACCGAAGGGGCAUCUCUUAUAGUAGCAGGCAGACCAUUCCACAGUUUAGGGGCCCUGUACCUAAAAGCUCGACCUCCCACUGUUAUUUUAUUAAUCCUUGAAAUCAUAAGCAGACCGGCAUCUUGAGAUCUUAAUGUGCGCUCUGGUUUGUAAGUCAUGAUAAGUUCAGACAAGUAAGCUGGACCUCGACCAUUUAAUGCUUUAUAUGUUAAAAGAAGGAUUUUGAAAUCUGCCCUAAACUUAAGCGGGAGCCAGUGUAAGGAUUUAAGAACUGGAGUUAUGUGUUCGUAUUUUCUUGUUCUUGUAAUAAUUCUCGCAGCCGCAUUUUGGAUUAACUGGAGGCUGUAUAAAGAACAGUUUGAACAUCCAGUGAACACCGCAUUGCAGUAGUCAAUCCUACUAGAGAUAAAUGCAUGAAUUAGUUUCUCAGAAUCCUGUUUAUUUAAAAAGCGCCUUAAUUUCCUAACAUUUUUAAGAUGGAAGAAACAUGUUUUGGACAACUUUGUAAUAUGCGCUUUAAAUGACAUGCUAGAGUCAAAGAUAACUCCUAGAUUGCGGGCUGAUUCAGUAAAAUUGACUGGGAUUCCCACUGAGUUAAAUGAUGACAAAAUAUUGUUAACCAAAAAAAGGUUAACUUAACUCUUUUAGGGCUAAUUUUUUUUUUUUUUUCCUCCUAGGGCUGAAUAUUUUUCCAAAAACUAACAUUUUUUAAAAAAACACAAAGCAAUUGUUUAACAUAUCAAAUCAACAAAAAAUAUUUACUUUUGACAAAUAUUACUGUCUUGCAUUUUGUAUGAGCCUGCAUACUCUAUGAUUUCACAUACAUAUCACAUACAUUUUACACAGCAAAGUCCUGCAAAGUCUGAUCUCGCUCAAAGCAGCCAAUUUCAGUCAUUGCCUCAUUGCACUCCUUACAAUAUGUGUUGCUUUGGUGCCUAUUUUUCAAUUGUCUGUUGCUGCACUUUCUCACAUAUAUUGUUAGUGUGUACUGUAGAGAGACAAGUCACCCAUUUGCCAUCGUGCCAUGCCACUGCCACCAAGUUUUCUGCCUGCAUGAAAACCGUAUUGUCACCUCUUUUCAUCUUCUGAAACUUUAUGAACUUUAUGUAUGGCAUUAUAGCCUGGCUCACCCCAUGGGAUUUGGUUCUGUUUAUUACAGAAGUGAAUAAAACUUUGCAGCAGCACGUACCUAUCACCACGCUGCAUAACCUGUCCAAAGCCACCAGGGGACAAAACAUGCUCCCUGAAGUUAUAUCACCAGUUCUGUCCCAUCUCUAUUUGUAAUGCCACAGUGCGCUUCAUCUCGUCUUUUGUUGUGGGUUUCCACUUUGAAAAACGAGAAUGCGAUGCAAACGCAGCCCACGAUUCAAAAAAAUUCUCUGCCUACUUGUUUGUCUCGUCUGACAGUAGCUGAAAAGCAGCAUCAGGAGAGAGCAGCCUGAAGUACAGCAGCUGGUGAUCUGUCGUGUCCAACAGCAAGCCAUGCCGUCUUGUAAACUCCGGUAGCCAGAUCAGCUCUCAACGGAUCAAUGUCUGUGUAUUUAUCCCAUGCGAACCUUGCCGUAGAUGCAUCGGCUGCGCGAAGGCACUCAACUGGCAGCAGAUCCGCUGGCGCGGCAUCGGCUGGUGUCUGAUCAGCUGAUGCCGGCUUUUCACUCUCUUGCUUGAUCUCCUGAUCACUGCCAAUAAAAUCCAAUUCUGACAAAUCAAGAGUCUGACUCCGCGAUAAUGCGCAAAACAUCGUCUGCCGAGUGUUUUCUUUUCUGCACUCGCUUCGCUCCCUUGUCACAUGUCGAUGCCAUCUUGCCAUUGUUUACAUUUCGCAACUCACGCACACGCAAGGAUUAUUUGCCGAGUCUAACAUUCCUCCAAGCACAGAGGGAAUGCCUGUGACGUGACAGUGAGAUUUGUCGCCAUUAACAGCUGAUUGUCGCCCUCUAUCCCAGGAUGUUGACUUUUGUCGACAUUCGCCUUCAACCCCUCCUGUCGACAGAAGUCGACAUCCGCCCUAAAAGAGUUAAUUAUGCUAUGUAUUCCUGGUACCUGCACAACUUCUGGAGCUGCUGCUUUAGCCUCAUACUUGCAGCACUGUGCAUCUAAGGUGUGUUUUAACAUGCUUUCAAGAAUGAAUGUGAUUUCUGUCUGAACUAGAAUUUUACGUGUACUUAGAUUUCAGUUUUGUUUUUGAUUUGUUUAGUAAGGUAUCCUGCAUAGGAACAGGCGCAGUGAUAACUGCUCAUUCACUUCCAGAUUAAUGUAAGAGUUGCCAUUUUUGUUUUACCCAAAUACCAACAGAAAUGUCAUUGUCAAUGGCAGUGAAUUUUUUGUGGCCCAGUAUUGUUUACCGGUGGAUUUAUUUAUGAUGAGAGUUUAAAAAGGUCUAUUCAUAUGGACUUUUGACUUUGUUCCCUAUGGGAUGUUUUCAGUCUCCUCUGGAAUCUUAUUCUGCUGUUCACAAAAUCUGUCUGAAAUUUUCAGAGUUAAAGGCCAUCAUGGAGACAACAAAUGAAUGUGGUGCUUGCUCGUGAGUGAAUCUCUCUCUAGCCACACACACCCCCCACCCCCCAAUGAGUAUGAACAAGUGCUCUGCCCCAUUUUUAUCUGGAUCAUUGGGGCAGAAAGCUUCAUGAAACUGGAAGAUUCUUGGCGACCACACAACAAUUUAAAGCUGUCCUGAAGUGUUUUACCCAGUUUUGGGCGUAUAUACAAAAAUGUUUGGGUGAUGUUUUUCAAAAUCUCAGAUGUUGCCCCAAGUGCAAGUUGAGCAACUGGUUGUCUUCUUCCUGACAGCACUCUUGCUCAUUGAGCCACCAAGACAAUUCUCUUCAUUGGUGCCUAUGGGGUCAACCUUUUAGAUGUCUGACUGAGCCCCUUAUGAUUUGUGGCUGUUCCCCAAAAUCAAGGCUAUUGUGUGGAAAAUGCUUCCAAGGACUGAGAGGACAUGACCAAGACAAAUGAAACUCUCAUCAUGUUAUGUAUUUGACAUUUGUAGGUUUGUGUAUAGUACUUGUGGAUGCUGCACUAGACUGGGCAGUGGAAGCCUGUCCUCUUAUUCUUGGUUUUCUAAUGGACCAAUUCUGUUGACUGCAACAGUAUUAGAAACUAAGACCACUUUUUGAUGAGCCAAUUUCUCUUGUGCUUAUGUUGAUUGCAUCCCCAGGUUUAUUCCGCUUAGUCAUCCUGUCUUGGUAAUGCUUUUUAAAAACUGAGAAUGUGUUUAGUUUUUGUGUUUAGACUUUUUCAAAGUAUACCCUGGCAUGAUUUCUAGUAACCCUAUCCAUUGACCUCCCAGGAAUUUGGGGAAAAUGUUCUGGGCUAUGUUAAGCCAGAAAAAUCGUAAUUUUCACUUUUUUUAGUAUUUCUCUGCAAAAGUAGCAGUUUUAUUUCUUCCUCUUCUGCAGGGUUAUAUUUCAAAUGUGUUAGUACACUAUACGUCAUUAGUAAGGCUGUCUGGAAACAAAGCUGGUGUUUUAUGAGUUGCUUAGGUUCAUUAUAGUUAAGCUUCAUUGGCUCAUUGCCGUGAUCUUAAGACCAGUUUCAGUAAAAUGUCAAGUUGUCUUCUAGUUUGGUUGAUUUGUUAAGGACUUCCUGGGCUAACUGCAGUGAGGACGUAGUCCUCAUUCAACCACAUUGUGUGUUUGUACACUUGAAGGCAUAGUAUUACCUUCACUUCCACUGCAUUUUGUUUACAGCUGUACUGUAAAAUGUGCCUGUCAAAGGGUUAAUUGUCAAUCUUUAUACGUGGUCUUUAAGAGUAGCUUCUAGGUUCUAAGUGGCUUAUAUAUAUAUAUUUUAAACAACACAAGUAUUUCAUUCAAGUGACUGAUUGAACUCUGAUUAAAACAUUCAUGAAAUUACCUGUUGCUGCAUUUGCCUCUAAAGUUUACUUGGGUAUUUAGCAUUAAGGCUGUGCACAACUGAAUAAUGCCCUGGUCUCCUUUGACUUUUUUUUAAAUUGUAAAGAUUAAAAAUCUGCAUCCAGCCAGGUUUGGGUUUUUACUGGGCCUCCUGCUUCUCUGAAAUCUAAUAUAUUACUUGGCCAGAGAGCAGCAUAGCAACCCUUUGUUGAACAGUUCUGUUUUAGACUUGUUGAAUAUUCUACCUCAGGAUAGAUAUUCAACCGUUAAGUCUAAUUACAAGACAAAACCAUUUUCACAAUCCAUAGUGCUGAUGUUUAUUUUGAACAGAACUGGCUCUAAUGAAGGUGCCGGAGGUUACAUGAAGUUAUGCAAACACAUUUGACUUUAAUUCUGACAUGCUUGAGUUAAAUAUCACACUCUUGACAUUUAGGCUCAAUACCAGACUUUGUCUUUGCACCAGACCAUUUUAGUAUUUCUUGCUUGGAUUUUCUUCAGCUUUUCUGCAAAGUGCUAAUGUAUCAAAAUAUCUAAUAUGUAGGGAAGAUCAGGUUUGGCAUUAUUUCCCCCAAAAGGUCUGUUUUUGAAAUGUCAACCAUGUCACAUUUUAGCAGUCCUCACUCUUCCAUGCAGGGGGGGGGGGGGGGGGGGGGGGUUUGGAACAGGUUUUCAUUAUUGGAUUUCAAGGUAUACAAUGCUAUAGAGCAGGGGCUAUUUGUUUGUUACAGAUGUGCCUAAAUUGGUUGCUCUCCAUGUAAAUUGCAAUGCUACUUCUGAAAAUUUUUGAACUACUGAAAACAGUAUUGAGAAAAUUAUGCCAGCACUUGGUCUCCAUGGAUUAAUAUAGACAAGAAGGAAUAAGGUGUGUAAUAAGGUAUGUCGUAAUUUUUUUUUUAAUUUCUUUGAGGAAAGCGAGUGUUUAGCUUACUUGUUCAAGCAGCGGAUAUUAAAAUGGUUUGGUAUACAGUAAUCCCUCCUCCAUCGCGGGGGUUGCGUUCCAGAGCCACCCGUGAAAUAAGAAAAUCCGCGAAGUAGAAACCAUAUAUUUAUAUGGUUAUUUUUAUAUUGUCAUGCUUGGGUCACAGAUAUGCGCAGAAACACGGGAGGUUGUAGGGAGACAGGAACGUUAUUCAAACACUGCAAACAAACAUUUGUCUCAUUUUCAAAAGUUUAAACUGUGCUCCAUGACAAGACAGAGAUGACAGUUCCGUCUCACAAUUAAAAGAAUGCAAACAUAUUUUCCUCUUCAAAGGAGUGCGCGUCAGGAGCAGAGUCUGUCAGAAAGACAGAGGAAAGCAAACAAAUCAAUAGGGCUGUUUGCUUUUAAGUAUGCAAAGCACCGCAGCACAAAGCUGUUGAAGGUGGCAGCUCUCACCCCCUCCGUCAGGAGCAGGGAGAGAGAGAGAGAGACAGAGACAGACAGAGUUUGUUUUUCAGUCAAAAAUCAAUACGUGCCCUUCGAGCUUUUAAGUAUGCGAAGCACCGUGCAGCAUGUCCUUUUGAGGAAGCAGCUGCACAAAAGAUAGCAACGUGAAGAUAAUCUUCCAGUAUUUUUAGACGAGCGUCCUUCUCGUCUAGGUGUGCGAACAGCCCCCCUGCUCAAUCCCCCUACGUCAGGAUCAGAGAAAGUCAGCGCAAGAGAGACAGAAAAGUAAGCCGGGUAGCUUCUCAGCCAUCUGCCAAUAGCGUCCCUUGUAUGAAAUCAACUGGGCAAACCAACUGAGGAAGCAUAUACCAGAAAUUAAAAGACCCAUUGUCCGCAAAAACCCGCGAUAUAUAUUUAAAUAUGCUUACAUAUAAAAUCCGCGAUGGAGUGAAGCUGCGAAGCGCGAUAUAGCGAGGGAUUACUGUAUGCUCACUUGCCCUGGUAGGCUUGUAAGUGUAGCCCAUAUGUCAAACAUUGAUCUUUUCCAUUAAUGAGUCAUUUGGCUGCCAUCUAGUGUGAAAGACAUCAUUGUAAACAAUAUGGAAAGGCGCCAAUCCUGUUCUGCUCUCUGUAGUAGAGUAACACUUCUGUAUUCACACUCUGGGUUGGUUUAACUGAUUUUUGCCAGAAUGUAAAAUCCACAUCUGUUUUGUUAUGGAUUGCCAGAUGCUCACUGUGUUAAGGCAUUUGGCAUCUUUUUUUUUUAUUUUUGGGUAACCUUUUUUCUCCAUGUAAUUUACACUGUUAUGCCCUACUGAGAAAUACUUUUAAUGGAAACAGAAGGUGCCGAGAGCCUUCUCAGUGUCACUUGUUUUUGAAGCUGUUGAGUACCUGUGCAGAGUUCAGAUUGUGGAAGGUAAGUUUCAAUAAAUUACAAGUAUAUGUUGACUGACUGGUAGUUUGCUUUGUUAUAGAAGGUGGCAGAGGGACUGCUUAUCUUACUGAAUUGUGGCAGCUUGCAAGUAAUAAAAUUGUAAAAGAAAUCAGCCAUAAUUAUACAGCCAUAAAUGUCGAAAAUUUAGACAAGCCAACUGAAUACAGAUUAUGGUUAGAGAUUAGAAUUUACAUCUGAUAACCUUUGACACUCCUGGAAAUGCUUUCAAAGUUCUGAAAGUUGAAUCUUGGGCUAGGAUGGUAAUUCUUGAAACUUGUCUUAAAAGGCAGACAAUACAUUUCUGUAAUAGCGCUAUAUUGACAAACUAUUUAAUAAUAUGCUGCUUUAACCACAGUCUUGAUAAAUUUAAAAACUAUCAAUUGUAAGUUUCAUUUUGUAAUUUAGCUUUUCUUGCAACAAAUACCAAUGUUGUGAUUGUCUUUGGAGAUGUAACAGAUUUUACAAUAGAGCCAUUUAAGAAAUAGGUAUUUUCCAUUUGAACAAGUGAAAGUGCUUGGGAAGCACAAGAGUAAAGAUGGCUAAAGAUUGUGUUUGAAUGAGAUAUAAAUGACCAUAUGUAAAAGAAUGGAGCAUGGCCUACAUCUAGGACCAGAAGCAUAGUAGGUUGUCCAUUAAAUUUUAUUUUUUCUUUAAACCAAUUUAAUUGCAGCCUGUCUUUGUAGGAUGAAGCCGAAGGCGUGACAUAAUCCUGCAGUGCUAAUUCUUUGUAGGGCACCAUUGCAUGCACAUGUGUACUUGGGCUAGUGUAGUGUAUAAUGUUAAUUGUACUCCACUUUUUUGAGUGGGAGUAAGAGAAAGAGAGAGAGGUUAGCAGCACGCGCUGAUACAGUGCAUUGCCGCACCCAUCACACGACAAACCUCUCUGUUACUCCCACUCAGACAUGUAUAAUGUUCAUUGUACUCUACACUAGCCCCAGUACACCUGAAGGUUGCUGGUUCGUAUCCUGUAAAUGCCAAAAGGGACUCUGUUGGGCCCUUGAACAAGGCCCUUAACCUGCAAUUGCUCUGUCCUGGGUAUGACGUUAAUCUGCAUCCUCUCCUGCAUGUAGGCCCUCCAACCUACAGGGAAAAACUUGGGGGUUGGUGGCAGAAUUGGCACUCCAGCCACCAUAAAAACCUCACACUGUUCCACUCCAUCUGAACUGCAAUUAAAUACUUAUCACAGAGUAAUAUGCAUUUGGUACCUUUUCUAGGGUGUUUCGAUAGAAGUAGCAGAUGCUUAUUCUAGCACUUCAGUAGGAUGGUUGUGUUGUAGUGGUUUUAGAAAAUAAAAUGGCUAAAGUCACCAGGACCCAGUUCCAAAAGGAUUCUAACAGGGUUGAAGCUCCGGAGAAUUAUUGAUGUGCAUUGGUACUGUCCCUUUUGUUGUAAAGGAAGGAAAUAUAUUAAAGUAGGUUUUUAUUCGCCUCAAAUUAUACAUACAUUACAAUAUGUAGUGAAAUCCAUAGUUGCAAUGCUUCAGAACUCAGCAUUUAAUAGGAAUAUAAAAUCUAUACAUAAAUAUCAAAAAAUAAUUAUGGUGAAAGUUCAGUAGAAUGCAUUAUCAUAGAAUUAUAAAACGUGAUAAGUAACUAAACUAGGUACAAGCCUUAGAUGUUAUUGUGUAGCAUAACAUUUGCUCAAAUCCUCUUCUGUCUUGGCUGCCAUUUCUUACUGAUUUCAACAAAUUAAGUUAUCUAGGAAUUUUGUUGUGAAUUCCCAAUGUAACUGAUACAGCUGGAUAUUUUAAACUGCUAAUAGAUGAGGCUUUACAGCUACUUGGUUUAGCUCACACUAGCUGGUAUGCAGUGGUUCUUAUCCUUGGUCCCAAUGCAUAUCCCCAACUGUAUUUUUAUUCUCAAUUCCUGCCAUUGGCUGGAUUGCUGAGCCUUGCUUGGGUUAAUUACUGUCUUUCUUUCUUUUUUUUUUUUUUUUCUUUUUUUUUUAACGGUCAAGUUGAAGUUUUUCUCCACUUUCAUGUUUCAAAGGAAUGGUAGCAAAUGUCACAAGAGCAGAUGAGUUUCCACCAGCUUACUUGUAAAGGCUAUGUUGAAUACUGGCUAUUAUCAAAACAGCUGCCUGGUGAGUACAUGGGCACGAAUGGAACUGAAUAAGCAUCUCCUUUUUCAGAUAAAUUGUAAUUUGCAUUGAGGCCUGCUGUUUAAUCUUCAAUUUGAAGGGAAGAUGGAUGCAAUUAAGGGAGCAGACUUAAUGAAUAUGUGGAAUGAAAAGUUCUUAAGGCAAGACUUCCUCGUUGAAUGUUGUAGCGACUUAAUUUUCUUCCAGUCUUACUAUAAUGGCUUUUGCCUGUACAAUAUGUUAGCGGUACUGUUAAAUUUGUGUGUAUUUCCAGGGAAUUUCACAAGACUUUCCAGUCAGCAUUUUUUGGAGAAACGUGGUCAUUGCUUUCCUGCUUAGUCCACAAAAAAGCAAUUGAGGAUUACCUUCAUUAUUUUUUUUUUGAUCAAUAUAAAAGGCAAAUUAAAUUCAUUAAACAUGUAUUUCAUCUUCUCAAAUACAAAGCAACCACAUAUGCUUUUUAUAAAUAACUUCAAUAUUAAAAACUGUUUAAUCAGGUGAAAAGAUGUCAUCUUGGCCAUUUCAACAAGCAUUUUCUUUUCCUUAUUGCCCCACUGGGGACUACCACUUUGAGGGAGCCACUAGGAAACUUGUUUCCGAAGUAUCUGCAAUAUGCAAUUGAAUUGAUUGUCUUCUGUCAUAUGUAAAAACUAUGGGUUUUUUUUAAUGGUAUGGUUAUAAUAUACAGGGUGAGCCAAAAUGAAGUACCACAUUUCUCAAGGUCAUUGCCUGAGGUAGAGGCAGUCGAGUGGGUUGGGGGUCCUUUGCUAGGCAAUCCCUUCUAGUUUUCAGUUGGCAACAUGCCUUGGUCCAGUGCACACCGUGCUUACGCUUUUGGAAAACAAAUCCAUCACUGCAGCGCACCUUCUGAACGCAUUUCAGCAUUUCUCCGAACGGUGAUGUUCCAAAUUGGGGAAAACAAUUCUUCAGUUGGUGGCUAAGCUUAGACAGACUGGUGCAACAUUGAACAGAAAAUCUCUAGGCCAUACUCGGACAGUGCGAACACCUGAAAACAUCCAAGCUGUAAGGGCAUCAAUUUUGCAGUCUCCUAGACGUUCAGCGCGCAAACAUGCUUCUGCCUUAGGCAUUUUCCAACACAUCUUUGAGGAGGAUUUUGCAUGAGGACCUUUAAUUUCUAUCCAUACAAAAUGAUGGUAGUGCAGGAACUCGCUGGGAGAGCCAUAGAGAGUUGAGUGAACAUUCUGCAAAAUGUUCAAGAUGCCAUUGUUAUGUGCAGCGACAAGACAUUUGCAUGGCUGCGUAAAUAUGCAUAACUUUCGCCAUUGGGCUGAAACUAACCCUCGUGAACUUCAUCAGAGACCCUUGGACAGUUGAGUGUUUUACAGUUUGGUUUGCGGAAUUUGGCAUUGUUGGCCCUUGCUUUUUUGAGGUGGGAGGCGCAACGGUCACCGUUACUUCAGAACGUUACAUUGAAAUGCUAGAGAACUUAUUUUGGCCCCAACUGGUGGAAAUGGAUGUGGUGGAUCCCUGGUUUCAACAGGAUGGAGCACCAGUUAAUACAGCGCGGAGAUGCAUGCAUGUUUUGCAGGAGAUGUUUCUGGGGAAGCUGAUCUCCUUGUGCGGCAAAGUUGGGUGGCCUUCACGUUCGCGUGAUAUCUCUCUGCAAUUUCUUGUGGGGAUGUUCAAGUGAAAGGUGUAGACAUACCGAUCUGAAAACCUUGAAGCCCUCAAGGAUGCUAUUCGCCACAAAAUCACCAGUAUUCCUCUUGAGAUGCCAGAAUGAGUCAUGCAAGUGUUUAGAGUGUAUUGCUAAUUAUGGCCACCACAUAGAGGCCAUCGUUUAUAAGAUACGAUGAAAAAAUCUCUUUUGUAUACCCUUUCUUGUGUCAUAAUGAAAUUUAUUUUAUCUUGUAGCUUUUUUGUAGAAUAAACGUUUGAAAUAUGGUAUUUCUUUCUGGCUCACCUUGUGUUAUAUACAGUGCUUUGCUAAACUCACUUUUCUGAAAAUGUAAAAUGAUACAUACAUCUGUGAUUGCAGGUAAAAUAAGAGUAUUUAAUGCUACUACCUAUAAAUAGCAUUAAAACCAACACACCGUUCCUACUCCAUGUAAAACUGUAACGCUCUUAAUAAUUGGUCAUUUUAAAACAAAGCCUUGAAAUUAUUGUCUUGUUCCCGAUAUCCACAACUUUCCAAAAAGUAAUUGCCUGCUUCCUUGCUUUCCCACCAAGUUGAGGUGAAAUAUUUUGGUAAAGGCACCGAAUGAAUAAUUAGAUAUUUGUCUUCAAGGAGAAACUUUGCAUUUUACCUAAGCUCAUUAAAUAAAGUAUACUCCCACAUUGAUCAGAGCACAUACCAGAAUUAAAAAGAAAAAACUGACUUGGCAAUCCAGUGAGGCAUUAUACAGGACUAUUGUCGUUGGCAUAAAGGAGCCCCAGUAGUGUUUCUUAGCACACUUCUACUGAAUAAUUGGAUGGCUGGAAGUCCUCAGUGUGUCUGAAAGAGAUUGUGCAGCAAUGUUCAUAAUGGCACUCAGAUUUUUAUUUUUUUUUUAAACUACCUCAAGGUGGGUCCACAGUACAUCACAUAACAGAGCCUAGCUUGUUUAAUUGUGCCUCUCCAAGUAAUGUGACCCCAGCAUGCUGCAGUAUAGAAAAUUACACUGGUCAUCACAGCUUUAUAGAACAUGUAAAGGAUGUCACCACUCACAUUAAAGGAGUGCAAUCACCCAAGUAAAGAGUCUCACCUACCCUUUCCUAUAUACUUCCUGUGUUAUGAGACCAGUCCAACCGGCGAUUGAUGUGGACACCCAAGUACUUGUGCGAGUGUACUAUAUCUACAUCCACUUUCAGGGAUUGAGUGUAGAGGCACUUUUGGGGAAAAUCAAUAACCAGUUCCAUGGUUUUGUUGAUGGGUUGCAAGCUGUUCUUUCAGCACCUGAAAAAACCUAAAGUUCUCAGUCCAACUCCUAUACUGUGUCUCAUCCCCUUAUCAAUCAGUGCAGAGUCAGAUGAGACUUUAUGCAUGUGACAUGACCAAGUGUUAUAUGAAUAGUCAUGAGUGAAGAGGAAGGAGAUGGGAAUGUUCCUUGUGGUGCACUGGUGUUGCUGACAUUCAUUUAACAGAAACAGUCCUUAAGUCUCUCAAACGGCAGUCUGCUCCACAGGUAAUACAUCUUCCAGGACACCAUAGGCUCAUCUUCCUACAUAUCCCUGUGUUUAACUCUUAACAGUAAUGGCUAGGUUAUAUUUUAAGCAAUGGAUAAAUUGAAAAACAUAAUCAGUGAUUACCUUUUUAAAGGAGGCUGUUGCUUUUAUGAAAAGGAAAUCCUGUAUUAAAUGGGUGGUUUGUACAUGCUAAUAUGUAGUUUUCCCUUAAAGCCAAAAAAGGUGGAAUCACAAAGGAAAAACUAGGCAGAAAGUUAUAACCCAUCAAGCAGCAAAGCACAAUGCCACGAACCAAGCACUUUUUAUCUUAUGUGUACCUGUGCGGUUUCUUUCACUGACUUAACAUCAUUCCUAAACAUGUUAAGUAUAAAAUGCAUGUAGUAUGCUCUACAUUUUUUUCCCAGAUUUUUGUUGCUUGAUGAAUGAAGGAACGCAUUAUUGCUGCUGUGUCAAACCAUUGGUUUGAUAUGCUAAGAAGGGCUGAAGAUGAGUUAGACUACAGAAUUGAUGUGUGCUGUGUGAUACAAAGGUCACAUACUAUUUAUAAGAUUAAAAAGAAAAAAGUUCCUUUAAAAUUGGCUUAGAUUAAAUGUUUUUAUGAAACUUCCAUGAAAUUUUUUAAAUCUCCUUCGAUUCCAUUGCAAUGUUAUUGCACCUGUGUCAUUUCCAUAGAUAUGGUAGCUACACCUCUGCAAACCUUGUGAUGCCAUAGCUGAGCAGUUAAGUAAUGCAGCAUAGUUUGCAAGAUGUUAACUAGUGCUGUAUUCUCUAGAUCAAUCUGGAAUUGGGUGUUAGUCCAUCAAAAGGCGGCACACUCAUGCACAAGUCCCACACUCCCUCAUGUAUGCUCAAUUCAAUGUAUUUUUGUGUAGCAUUUAUUCGUUGUGUGCAGGUUCAGAGUGCACUGUGUGCUACCAGUCUAAGUCACACAUCCUUGCAGUUCAGUAAGAAAACCAGAGAACAAGCAAAUUCCACACAGUGACCAAGCUACAUUUCAAAUUCAGGGCUCUGAACGAGUGAAGUGGCAACACAAACUUUGGUAACAUCAAAGUGUCAGUAUUCAUUAGUGUGUCUGCCCUUGGCAGAUCGGAACAGAGUUGCAGAGAUUGAACAUCACAAAAUGAUAUAACAGAUGAAUUAUGUAGUGUUGGAUGUGAUGACACUAACUUGUAUUCUGUAUAAGACAACAAUCAGUAGUUGGAUGUGUUGAACCCCCUAAAUGAGCAGGCUGAAAGUUUUAAUGUGAUGCUAAGUGAUUACAACAGGACUGACAAUAGUUAAUAUUGAAAAUUGUAUUGAAAUGUAGUAAUCUUUAAAAAAAAAAAAAAAAACAUUUGUCAGUUGGUGACCUUUGUCUUGCAUGCUGCUUUAUGCAGGGGUACUUUUUUUUUUUUUUUCUCUCAGGGUCUUUUUAGAACCCCUUUUCAAACCAUUUAAUGUGUGUGUCACUUUCAGACUGGGAUUAUUUAUCACAGUCGUGUGGACUGGAAUAAUAGAAUGUAUUUGCCUGCAUGAUCCACUUCUUUCUUUCUUAAAUUCAAUUAUUUUGCUUGUUUUGGUGUUUUUCAGCCUCCUGUGAUAUCAUUUGAUAUUGAGAGCUGAGCAUCCAGCCCAGUCCCUUUAUUUGGAGAUAGUUUACCAUUUUUGACGUUUUCUUAGCAAAAUCUUUGGAUUAACCUGCUGUUCUUCUGGUUCGGGAGACAAUUUUGAAGCCAUAUCAGAUAAUGGAAGCAAUAGAGUGCAACAAAGACUUGCACCAUUAUCGGCCGUUUACUUUUGCCUGUGAGCAGGGGAAUUUCUUUUAUAUUGUGCUAUUAUGUGAUUUCUUGGUAUGCUCCAAGUUGAAGCAUGUCAUACAUAUAGAGUGUAGUGGUUACUAAUCCACUCUUUUGUUUGUUUUCUUCAUUCCUGCUUAUACCUCCACUCUAUUGGUUCUCCACUUUUUGUAACCUGCUCUGCUAUCCUCAAAAAAAAAAAAAAAUAAGACACGUAAGAGUAAGGAGGCAGGGUAAUGUGCAUUUUUAAUUAGAUUAAGAACACUGCACGAGUCCUACAUCAGUUCUUGAAGCCAUUUAGUCCCAGAGUUUGAGGUGGGACUCCAGUUGGCUAAGUGUCUGUCUGCUUGGUCUCUAAUCGAACAGAUGGCACAUAACAAACAUUAGCACUGCGUUUAUGAAUCCUGUACUUAAUGGCAUGUAACAAACAUACCAACUGCUUGGACACACUUCAGUGAGUACAUCCAACAGAGAGCAACUCCUGGAUAGACAGAAAUCAGCUUAUCUACCUUGCUAAAAAGAAAACUGUCCGUCUGAGUGCUGUGUGUGUCAUUUCAUCAGAUGGCACAUCACAAACAUUCAUAGCAGUGCAUUUUAUUAAUACACAUUUGUGAUCCUCCUUCUAUUGGAAUACCAAAUGCAAAGCAUUUUAUUACUACAUGCAUUACAAAAUACAUUAUGAUAGAUGGUGCAUUGCAAACAGGCUAAAUUUACUACUUAAGUUUUAGCCUGUCUUAGAUGUGUAAUAGAACUAGUCAUCCAUAAAGGAAUAUUCCACCCAAAGAUUUUUUUUUUUUUUGUGUGUUACUUUCUCCCACUUACUUUGUAGUGCUGGUCAGGAAAAAUUUUUAAUCUCGUGGAAUGGAAAGAAAAGUUUGGAGGCAAUAGUGACCAUUGUUUUACAAUGGUAACCAUGAAAAAUGUCCAUGGGGGCAGGAACUCUCGAAAUACACAUUUACAGCAUAAUGACAUAACAGAAGUUUAACAUGCAUGCUAAAAAUACUGUUACAUACACCCCCAUUCCAAAAAAGGUUGUGAUGCUGUGUAAAAUGUAAAUAGAAUGCAAUGUUUUUCAAAUAUCAUAAACCCAUACUUCACAGUAGAACACAGGAAACCUAUCCUAUGUUGAAAGUGAGAAAAUGUACCACUUUAAGAACAGAGUAAGGUCAUUUUGAAUUUGAUGGCAGCAACAUGUUUCAAAGUUGGGAACGGGCCAUGUUUACCACUGUGUAGCGUUCCCUCUUUUUUUUAAUAAGUCCAUUAACAUCUGGGAACUGUGGAGACCAGUUGUUGGACUUUCGGGAGAGUAAUGUUGUCUCAAUUCUUUUCCGAUACAGGUUUUUAGCUGCUGGACAGUUCUGGGCCUCCUGUGUCAUAUUUUUCAUUUCAUGAUAUGCCAAAUUUUUUCAACUGGUGAAAAUUCUGGAAUGCAGGCACGCCGAUUCAGAACCCGUACUCUUCUACUAUGAAGCCGUGCUGCUGUUAUAGAUGCAGUAUGCAGUUUAGCAUUGUCUUGCUUAAAAAUGCAAGGCCUUCCCUGAAAAAGAUGUCUGGAUGGGAGCAUGUUUUGUUCUAAAAGCUGUAGAUCUUUCAGCAUUGAUGGUGCCUUUCCAGAUGUGCAGGCUGCCAAUUCCAUAGGCACUAAUGCACCACCACACCAUCAGAGAUGCAGGCUUUUGAACUUUGCACUGAUAACAAGCUUGAUUGUCCCUCUCCCCUUUAGUCCAGAGAACACACUCCAUGUUUUCCUAAAAUAAUUUCAAAUAUCGAUUUGUCUGACCACAGAGCAGUUUUCCACUUUGCCUCAGUCUAUUUUAAAUAAGCUUUGGCCCAGAGAAGACAAUGGCUUUUCUGGGUCAUGUUCACAUAUGGCUUCUUUGCAUGACAGAGCUUAAACCUGUAAUUGUGGAUGGCAUUCCAAACUGUGUUCGCAGACAAUUUCUAGAAGUGUUCCAGAGUCCAUGCAGUGAUUUCCAUGACAGAAUCAGACCUGUUUUUAAUGCAGUGCCACCUGAGAGCCCAAAGAUCACUGGAAUCCAGUAUUGAUUUUUCAGCCUUGUCCCUUGUGCACAGAGAUUUCUCCAGAUUCGCUGAAUCUUUUGGUGAUGUUAUGUACUGUAGUUGAUGAGAUAUUUAAAGUCUUUGCAAUUUUAUGCUGAGGAAUAUUGUUCUGAAAUUGGUCCACAAUUUGUAGACCCAUCUUUACUUCUGAGACUGUCUCUAAGAUGCUGUCUUUAUACCCAAAAAUGUUUCUGACCUUUUACCAGUUAACCUAAUUAGUUGCAAAAUGUUCCUCCAGCGGUUUCUUUUUAGUACCACUUACUUUUGUUGCCACCAUCCCAACUUUUUUUGAGAUGUGUUGCUGCCAUCACUUUUCAAAAUGAGCUAAUAUUUUCACUUUCAACAUUUGAUAUGUUUUCUAUGUUCUGUUGUGAAUAAAAUACAGGUUUAUGAGAUAUUCAAAUCAUUACAUUUUGUUUAUUUACACUUUACACAGCUUCCCAACAUUUUUGGAAUUGAUGUUGUACUUGCUUCCUCAGCAGUUAUCGACACACACAUAAACAAGAAAUCUAAAGCUUCAUUGGAUUGCCUUUUUGAAUUAAAGAACUACCUCUCCUUCCCCUUUAUUGGUCUUCAAUUCAGAAGACUUUUUCUCCACACUGUAUGAAAACAUGAGAUUAAAAAAAUUUCUCUGUCACCACUGCAAAGUGCAUGGGGUAAGUAACAUAAUAAUGAAAAAAAUGAUUCUUUUGAGUAUUCCUAAAAGGGAGGACCCAACCCUGCAUGGAAUGCUAUUGUAGUGCAACAUGGCAAAUGUGUGACCUUAAUUGGUGGAUCUUUGGUGUUAUUACCAAGAUGGGUGCCUUUGUACUCCUCCAUGAUAUAAAUCCUUAUUAGCCGGUAACAUUUUCUGUUACUUUAUUUAGUCACACCAUUGGUAUUGCUCAUUGUGAAUAUUGAAGAGCAGAGUAUGAUGGCCUGAAUGUUGGGUGGUGACAUUCACGGUGGCUCAUUUUGUUUACAGACUGCUGUUAGAUGAGAUGAUGAUUUAAUCAGUCGUUCUGUUUAUUAAUCCAUGUAAUUCAAUAAAUGUGAGUAUUCAUCUGAAGAAGUAGUACAUUGUUGUGCUAGUAAAAUGUAAUUUGAUAACUUCCUCGCCUUUAUUUAACUUCAUAAGUUUAUGCUGUUUACCAUUAGAAUUAAAUAAUUAUUUGUCAAUGUUGACCAGGGUGUUAGGAGUGGCAUGCUGGCCAAUGGAAUGGUGCAACUUCUCAUUAUUUCCAGAAUGAGGGGGUUUAAUAACAAUCUGAGUUGAGUUUUCCCAUUCUCACCCUUUCUGUGUAGGUUUUCCUCAGGGGUAUUUUUCUUCAGCAAGAAGUUGAUUGGCAUGUCUAAAUUAGUGGGUUUGUGUUUGUAUGUUUGUGAGUGCUCCUUGUGGUUGACCUCUUGAGUACACUGCUACCAUGACAGACAUCACCUUCUUGAAUUGGGUAAGCAA